This 119-nucleotide ribosomal RNA is filed under the name Lepisosteus oculatus (spotted gar). The record is from RNAcentral. Lineage: Eukaryota; Metazoa; Chordata; Actinopteri; Semionotiformes; Lepisosteidae.
ACCAGCAGCCAUGUCACUCUGCAACUUACAACUGGCAACCCACUGAAGCUAAGCAGGUGUGAGCCUGGUCAGUACCUGGAUGGGAGACCUUCUGGGAAAAACUAAGGUUGCUGCUGGAA